AACUCCCAAACCCCUGUGAACAUACCACUUGUUGCCUUGGCGGAUCAGCCCGCUCCCGGUAAAACGGGACGGCCCGCCAGAGGACCCCUAAACUCUGUUUCUAUAUGUAACUUGUGAGUAAAACCAUAAAUAAAUCAAAACUUUCAACAACGGAUCUCUUGGUUCGGGUAUCGAUGAAGAACGCAGCAAAAUGCGAUAAGUAAUGUGAAUUGCAGAAUUCAGUGAAUCAUCGAAUCUUUGAACGCACAUUGCGCCCGCCAGUAUUCUGGCGGGCAGCCUGUUCGAGCGUCAUUUCAACCCUCAAGCAAAGCGGGGUGUUGGGACUCGCGUUAAUUCGCGUUCCCCAAAUGAUGGCGGUCACGUCGGAGCUUCCCAAAAGGGGUUUAUACCCC
RNAcentral lists this ribosomal RNA (392 nucleotides) under Fusarium oxysporum f. sp. gerberae. RNAcentral describes it as "partial 18S ribosomal RNA". The stretch from base 139 to 291 matches the Rfam family "5.8S ribosomal RNA". The record is from RNAcentral. Lineage: Eukaryota; Fungi; Ascomycota; Sordariomycetes; Hypocreales; Nectriaceae.